This 503-nucleotide ribosomal RNA is filed under the name uncultured bacterium. Its description in RNAcentral is "bacterial SSU rRNA". It matches the Rfam family "Bacterial small subunit ribosomal RNA", at positions 15 to 507 of the family's 1533-position model. The record is from RNAcentral.
GAUCAUGGCUCAGGAUGAACGCUAGCUACAGGCUUAACACAUGCAAGUCGAGGGGCAGCAUGAACUUAGCUUGCUAAGUUUGAUGGCGACCGGCGCACGGGUGAGUAACACGUAUCCAACCUUCCGUUUACUCAGGGAUAGCCUUUCGAAAGAAAGAUUAAUACCUGAUAGUAUGGUGAGAUUGCAUGAUAGCACCAUUAAAGAUUUAUUGGUAAACGAUGGGGAUGCGUUCCAUUAGGUUGUUGGCGGGGUAACGGCCCACCAAGCCUUCGAUGGAUAGGGGUUCUGAGAGGAAGGUCCCCCACAUUGGAACUGAGACACGGUCCAAACUCCUACGGGAGGCAGCAGUGAGGAAUAUUGGUCAAUGGACGAGAGUCUGAACCAGCCAAGUAGCGUGAAGGAUGACUGCCCUAUGGGUUGUAAACUUCUUUUAUAAAGGAAUAAAGUCGGGUAUGUAUACCCGUUUGCAUGUACUUUAUGAAUAAGGAUCGGCUAACUCCGUG